AGAGUUUGAUCAUGGCUACAGAACGAACGCUGGCGGCAAGGCUUAACACAUGCAAGUCGAACGGUUGUAGCAAUACAGCAGUGGCGCACGGGUGAGUAACGCGUGGAUAUCUGCCUUUUGGUUCGGAAUAACUCCGGGAAACUGGAGCUAAUACCGGAUGGUUCCUACGGGAUAAAGAUUUAUCGCCAAAAGAUGAGUCCGCGUACGAUUAGCUAGUUGGUGAGGUAAUGGCUCACCAAGGCGACGAUCGUUAGCUGGUCUGAGAGGACGAUCAGCCACACUGGGACUGAGACACGGCCCAGACUCCUACGGGAGGCAGCAGUGGGGAAUAUUGGACAAUGGGGCAACCCUGAUCCAGCCAUGCCGCGUGAGUGAUGAAGGCCUUCGGGUUGUAAAGCUCUUUUGGCGGGGACGAUGAUGACGGUACCCGCAGAAUAAGCCCCGGCUAACUUCGUG
Molecule: ribosomal RNA, 456 nt
Filed under: uncultured bacterium
Lineage: Bacteria
Description: bacterial SSU rRNA
Rfam family: Bacterial small subunit ribosomal RNA
Source: RNAcentral